CUGGAAUAAUACACCGAAAGGGGUACUAAUACCGGAUAUUCUUGCUUUAUAUAAGUUUUGCAAGCAAAGGUGGCCUCUGACAUAAGCUACUGCAUAAAGAGGGGUCUGCGUACCAUUAGCUAGUAGGUGGGGUAAUGGCCUACCUAGGCUACGAUGGUUAGCGGGUCUGAGAGGAUGAUCCGCCACACUGGCACUGGAACACGGGCCAGACUCCUACGGGAGGCAGCAGUGAGGAAUAUUGCGCAAUGGGGGCAACCCUGACGCAGCGACGCCGCGUGAGUGAGGAAGGCCUUCGGGUCGUAAAGCUCUGUCAAAGGGAAAGAAAUGUAUAAUGGCUAAUACCUGUUAUAUUUGACGGUACCCUUAAAGGAAGCACCGGCUAACUCCGUGCCAGCAGCCGCGGUAAUACGGAGGGUGCAAGCGUUGUUCGGAAUUACUGGGCGUAAAGGGCGCGUAGGCGGUUUGAUAAGUCAGAUGUGAAAGCCCACGGCUUAACUGUGGAAGUGCAUUUGAUACUGUCAGACUUGAGUACCAGAGGGGAAAGUGGAAUUCCCGGUGUAGAGGUGAAAUUCGUAGAUAUCGGGAGGAAUACCGGUGGCGAAGGCGACUUUCUGGCUGGAUACUGACGCUGA
This 632-nucleotide ribosomal RNA is filed under the name uncultured bacterium. RNAcentral's name for it is "bacterial SSU rRNA". It matches the Rfam family "Bacterial small subunit ribosomal RNA", at positions 138 to 749 of the family's 1533-position model. The record is from RNAcentral.